RNAcentral lists this long non-coding RNA (1193 nucleotides) under Salmo salar (Atlantic salmon). RNAcentral describes it as "lncRNA (ENSSSAG00000094074.1, ENSSSAG00000094344.1)". Lineage: Eukaryota; Metazoa; Chordata; Actinopteri; Salmoniformes; Salmonidae. The record is from RNAcentral.
CUGCCAUUGAAGGUGGCUUCUAAGAAGUUUCCCCCCUGAUUCAUUGGUCCCUUUGAAAUGGAUCAUGUCAUUAACCCCUCUGCUGUGCACCUGAAACUCCCAAACUCUCGCAAGAUCCAACCUACCUUCCGUGUUUCCCAGAUCAAACCUGUCAAUUCCAGUCUCCUCCUGUCUCCUCCUGCAGCAGCUCCUCCACCCCCUCGGCUCAUCGAUGACCAUCCUGCCGAUACCGUUCGGGCUGGCUUCUGGACGUGCGCCGUCGGGGUCACGGCUGGCAGUACCUGAUGGACUGGGAAGGAUACGGGCCUGAGGAGCACUGCUCGGUUCCCUGCCGUCAUAUUCUGGACCCCUCCGUGCAUUCUAUACCUCACACCCAGAUAAGUCUGGUCGGGCGCCCAAAGGUGCCCUCUACUGCUCAUCCUGUGUCUCCCUAACCUGCCGACACUCCCCCAGUGCUCUCUCCCUCUUUCUCUGUGUGAUUGUGUGGGCAGAGACAGGUGUGCUGGAGGCAGAGCAGAACCCCACCAGCUGCAACCUGUUCCAUAAUUAAGACCUCUACAAAUACUCUGCCCUGCCACUUCUACGCUGCCAGAUCGUAACCUCUGCUCAUUCUGUCCCCUCUGACUCUGGUCCCUGUCUCCAGUCCCAUGUCUCGUCAGUCCUGCUACCCUGUCCUGGACCCCCCACUCUACUGCUUCCUUGGAUUCCUCUCCGGACCUGCUUACCCAGCCCCAUCUCCCCUCGCUCUAGCCUCAGUACCUGGCUCCCUGCAACCCGACCGAGCUUUCCCUGCCUGCGCCUCAUCUUCACCCUGUUUUUCAAUAAAUACAAUACACCUUAUCCUGGUCUUAUUCUGGUCUGGUCUUGGGUUCACCUGCUCCGCUCCGCAUAACACUAGGAAAGCUGUUCUCAUGGAUAUCAUGGUUCAGAUAGAUGCUAUCAGGUUACAGGUCAUGACAGGUACGCUGUUGUGGAAUGAAACUGUUCCCCCAAUAAAACCUAGAAACUUCCUGCCAUCUCUUAACUUUCCUCUCUGCUCUGCUGUUCAAAGGUCUCAGAGUAAACAUUUUUCAGCAUUAAAGAUGAAGAUCAGGACCACAUGGGGCCUGGCUACGUAGUGGAGCACCGUUCAUGCCAUGCCUCAAUUCUCCCACCCUGCCUCCUCAAAAUCAUCUCCUCUUUCAGACGGCCAG